This 358-nucleotide unclassified non-coding RNA is filed under the name soil metagenome. RNAcentral describes it as "partial contains 5.8S ribosomal RNA, internal transcribed spacer 2, and large subunit ribosomal RNA". The stretch from base 1 to 120 matches the Rfam family "5.8S ribosomal RNA", at positions 35 to 154 of the family's 154-position model. The record is from RNAcentral.
GAUGAAGAACGUAGCGAAAUGCGAUAAGUAAUGUGAAUUGCAGAAUUCAGUGAAUCAUCGAAUCUUUGAACGCACAUUGCGCCCGUCAGUAUUCUGGCGGGCAUGCCUGUUCGAGCGUCAUUACGCCCCUCAAGUGCCCUGUGGACUUGGUGUUGGGGAUCGGCGAGGCUGGUUUUCCAGCACAGCCGUCCCUUAAAUUAAUUGGCGGUCUCGCCGUGGCCCUCCUCUGCGCAGUAGUAAAACACUCGCAACAGGAGCCCGGCGCGGUCCACUGCCGUAAAACCCCCCAACUUUUUAUAGUUGACCUCGAAUCAGGUAGGACUACCCGCUGAACUUAAGCAUAUCAAUAAGCGGAGGA